Molecule: ribosomal RNA, 551 nt
Filed under: uncultured bacterium
Lineage: Bacteria
Description: bacterial SSU rRNA
Rfam family: Bacterial small subunit ribosomal RNA
Source: RNAcentral
GGAAUAUUGCACAAUGGGGGAAACCCUGAUGCAGCCAUGCCGCGUGUAUGAAGAAGGCCUUCGGGUUGUAAAGUACUUUCAGUUGUGAGGAAGGCGUUGGAGUUAAUAGCUUCAGCGUUUGACGUUAGCAACAGAAGAAGCACCGGCUAACUCCGUGCCAGCAGCCGCGGUAAUACGGAGGGUGCGAGCGUUAAUCGGAAUUACUGGGCGUAAAGCGCAUGCAGGCGGUCUGUUAAGCAAGAUGUGAAAGCCCGGGGCUCAACCUCGGAACAGCAUUUUGAACUGGCAGACUAGAGUCUUGUAGAGGGGGGUAGAAUUUCAGGUGUAGCGGUGAAAUGCGUAGAGAUCUGAAGGAAUACCGGUGGCGAAGGCGGCCCCCUGGACAAAGACUGACGCUCAGAUGCGAAAGCGUGGGGAGCAAACAGGAUUAGAUACCCUGGUAGUCCACGCCGUAAACGAUGUCUACUUGAAGGUUGUGGCCUUGAGCCGUGGCUUUCGGAGCUAACGCGUUAAGUAGACCGCCUGGGGAGUACGGUCGCAAGAUUAAAACU